RNAcentral lists this transfer RNA (71 nucleotides) under Marmota monax (woodchuck). It matches the Rfam family "tRNA". Rfam says of the family: Transfer RNA (tRNA) molecules are approximately 80 nucleotides in length. Their secondary structure includes four short double-helical elements and three loops (D, anti-codon, and T loops). Lineage: Eukaryota; Metazoa; Chordata; Mammalia; Rodentia; Sciuridae. The record is from Rfam by way of RNAcentral.
GAGGGUGUAACUCAGUGGUAGAGCACUUGCCUACCAUGUGUGAGGCCCUGGGUUCAAUUUCCAGCACCCCA